RNAcentral lists this ribosomal RNA (244 nucleotides) under uncultured eukaryote. Its description in RNAcentral is "partial 18S ribosomal RNA". It matches the Rfam family "Eukaryotic small subunit ribosomal RNA", at positions 624 to 886 of the family's 1831-position model. The record is from RNAcentral.
AAGCUCGUAGUUGAAUUUCGGAAUGCAUGGGUCAAAGCUCGUCCUUGUGGCGUGGCUCGGCACGUGCUUCCUAUCUUUCGCAGGUGGGGCAACUCAUCGCGAAUUAUUUACUUUGAAAAAAUUAGAGUGUUCAAAGCAGGCGUAACUUGCCAUUGAAUAUUACAGCAUGGGAUAAUAGAAUAUGACGUUGGUCUUAUUUUGUUGGUUUCUAAGGCUGAUGUAAUGAUUAAUAGGGAUAGUUGGG